ACGCGAUAAGUUUUAGAAAGGACUAUUCACCCCCCCUCUAGUCCGCCAUCUCGACCCUUCAAAUUGUCCAUUUUUAGCUCUCGUCUCACUUUUUCUUUUCUUCGAGGUUCCGGGCACUUGCCCCUUUUUAUUUCCUCAUAUUUUUCCUUUUCUUCUUUUUUUCAAAGCGCUCACUCUCCUAGAAUAUGUAGCAAGUGGUAGUAACCAAAAUAUCUCGAGCAUUUAUUUCACGAGGAAUAACAGGGAUAGGAUAAUGUUUUUGGCUAUUCUCUCCUUGAUAGGAGUAGAAUAAUUUUGGGUGAAUCUGGAGAUGGAAAGGAGUGGAUGUAUGUGGAUGCGUACUUCCGGAGUAGAAGCAGCAUGUAUGAGUGAACGUGCAAGUGAAUCUUGAUUUUAACCACAUGACAAGCUCCUAAGGGUCUACACAGCUUGACCACACUCAAUGCUCAUAAGCAGUAAAAAGUAAAUGUAUGGUUCCUAGUCUAAUAAGCAUGUAUAUAUGACUGUGGUAGGAUUUCAAACUCUCAUCAUACAGGAACUCAUCAUGCAACAUUUUAAGGAUUUUCAAAGAUAAAUGUUGGGUAC
Molecule: long non-coding RNA, 585 nt
Filed under: Sorghum bicolor (sorghum)
Lineage: Eukaryota; Viridiplantae; Streptophyta; Magnoliopsida; Poales; Poaceae
Description: long non-coding RNA (SBIC_LNC006288)
Source: RNAcentral